This 1409-nucleotide long non-coding RNA is filed under the name Gallus gallus (chicken). RNAcentral describes it as "lncRNA (ENSGALG00010007035.1)". Lineage: Eukaryota; Metazoa; Chordata; Aves; Galliformes; Phasianidae. The record is from RNAcentral.
CCGGUGUCUGGGGUUUGCUAAACUACUCCACGCUGGUGGGAAUUUAAGGGAAACAAACUGAUUUAUUUCACCAAAAGGCAGAUCUUUGUUUCAGUCUGAAGGCUGAGCUGAGGGGCAUGGCAAGCUGCUGGGGUGGGUUCUACAGCUAUUAGAACUGCACAGUGGCACUCAAACAGGCUCCCUUCCCCAGAAGGUAUGUUCCUUUAGGAACAGUUAUUUGAGAGGAGUUUUAUGUAUGUUUUAUACAUCUCUACAUGCCUUGGGCCUUCUUGAGGGCAAAUGCCUCACUGAGUUCUGGCUCCUAAUCCCAGUAUGUUUGGUCAAGACCUGAAUUUGUAAUGGCCUUGCUAAUGAAACACGAUUUGUCUUAGCUCUACUCCUCGUUGUGCAAAGGCAUGACAGGAGCGCAGUGUUCUUGCUCCUUAUAUGUGGACAGGAUUAAUGUGGCUUCUUGAUAAGCCUGUCACUGUAAUGGAUAAACAGUCUUUGCCAAGAGGGCUUCAGCGCUUCAGAGUAGAAGCAUUUUAUUUUUCCUCUUAAUUUUCAUCAUCUCUAAUAUGAGAAACGCUUCAUAAAUACUUUCAUGGCAAAAGUAAAUACGGCUUAUUUGCUGAUUAGUUCUAGAGAACAGCUAUGAAUAAAGCAGUUCUGAAACUCAGCGCCCCUGUGUUUGUGAUCAAAGUGCAAACCAAUUCCGCUUGUUAGAUAUGUGGAAUUGAGUAUAAGGCCGUGUGAUCAAAACCCAACAACAUCUCCUACCAAACCACUUUAACUGGAGGACCAAAGUCUGCAUUAUUUUUCCUCCGUAUGCCGUGUUUUCACUUGCUGUCGUAUCAGACACAGCUAAAGGACUGAACUGUUGCACAUGUGUGAGAAUGAUGACUAUAAUUAAUUUAAGGCACGUGUAAUUGCAUGAGGUAAUGACCUCACAGCUUCAGUCUCGUCACAUGAACAGCUUAAUUAUUGGCUGUAGAAUGACAGACGGUGUCCUGCAGACGAUCAGACACGGACUGUGCUGAAGACCAGCCUGACUCUUAACCAAAGGUUUGUAUUUCCUUUUAAGAUGCAUCAUGCACCGAAGUAAUCACCUGUAUUUAUCAGGACAAAGUAUUAUAUAACGAUUUCCUCCUGGGCAUCACUUAGCCUCCUUAUGGCUCCUAAUGAUGGAAGUGUUCUGUUCUGUCUUACCCUGAGAUUUUCAGUGCAGCAUUCGAGCACUUUCCCAUUAACCUCAAAUGAGACUAAUACGCAAAUGCGUGGUUUGUUCCCAUCUCCCCACAUUGGGCUGCAGUGUGCUUGCAGUACAGGUGGGAAGAAUCGUGCCUUGCAGCAUGGGAGAGCAGGUACCGAAGGGUCCUUUGGUCUCCAAGGAGCUCAUUCUCCAAAUUCAGACAGGUCCCUGGAAAAUG